Molecule: ribosomal RNA, 254 nt
Filed under: uncultured bacterium
Lineage: Bacteria
Description: partial 16S ribosomal RNA
Rfam family: Bacterial small subunit ribosomal RNA
Source: RNAcentral
UACGGGGGGAGCAAGCGUUGUUCGGAAUUACUGGGCGUAAAGCGCGUGUAGGCGGCUCGAUAAGUCGGAUGUGAAAGCCCUGGGCUCAACCUAGGAAGUGCAUUCGAAAACUGCUGAGCUUGAGUUCUGGAGAGGAAGGCGGAAUUCUCGGUGUAGAGGUGAAAUUCGUAGAUAUCGAGAGGAACACCGGUGGCGAAGGCGGCCUUCUGGACAGCAACUGACGCUGAGACGCGAAAGCGUGGGGAGCAAACAGG